RNAcentral lists this transfer RNA (71 nucleotides) under Loxodonta africana (African savanna elephant). It matches the Rfam family "tRNA". Rfam says of the family: Transfer RNA (tRNA) molecules are approximately 80 nucleotides in length. Their secondary structure includes four short double-helical elements and three loops (D, anti-codon, and T loops). Further hydrogen bonds mediate the characteristic L-shaped molecular structure. tRNAs have two regions of fundamental functional importance: the anti-codon, which is responsible for specific mRNA codon recognition, and the 3' end, to which the tRNAs corresponding amino acid is attached (by aminoacyl-tRNA synthetases). tRNAs cope with the degeneracy of the genetic code in two manners: having more than one tRNA (with a specific anti-codon) for a particular amino acid; and 'wobble' base-pairing, i.e. permitting non-standard base-pairing at the 3rd anti-codon position. The record is from Rfam by way of RNAcentral. Lineage: Eukaryota; Metazoa; Chordata; Mammalia; Proboscidea; Elephantidae.
ACAUUAGUGGUUCAGUGGUAGAAUUCUCACCUUCUCUUUGAGAGAGCUGGGUUCGAUUCCUGGCCAAUGCA